Myotis daubentonii (Daubenton's bat) is the source of this 2166-nucleotide long non-coding RNA. RefSeq lists it as uncharacterized. Lineage: Eukaryota; Metazoa; Chordata; Mammalia; Chiroptera; Vespertilionidae. The record is from RefSeq and is a predicted model, not a curated record. The transcript has 3 exons.
UACUUGGGGACGGGGUGGGGAAGGCUGGUAUGAGCAAUGAACAGCAAUGAACGGCUGGCGGGACGAUGUCAACGUGAGAAACCUGUGCUAAGAAGAACGUCAGGAAACGUCAGGGAGAAAGCCGCGCUGUCAGGCGAGGGAGACCCCUGGCGUUUCCCGCUAACGUCGGGCUGGGAGCCCGUGGAACCCACGAGGGGGCGAGGGCUUCCCGGUCGGAAGUCGGGGAGGCUCCCGCAGGAGCCAAAUGGCCUGGCGGGUGGGUCAGCGGCCAGCGGGAGGCCUGCCGGCCGCGCCCCCGAGCAGAGGAGCCCCCGAAGUGGCGCACGCUCCCCCCGAGAGCAGCUUCAAAGAAAACUUUAGGACAUCAAGAGACCAUCGGAUGAGCCAAACAAUUCUGAGCAACAUUGAGAUGGUUCCCACACUGCUUCCUACCCUUUGCCUGAAGACACCACCUGCUCUCUUUCCUUUAUGCGAAAUGCAGUCUAGCAUCUGGGAAAGGGCCCCACAGACCUUGGUUCCCAAACUCAGUGAUUCCACAAAUAUUUGCCAAGUGAGUGAAUGGUGUCAUGCAUACAGGAAGGGCCAAGGGGUCUUUGGCUAGCAGUUGCCUAACCGUUGGAAUACUGACCGCAGGAGGACGGUUCCCAGUCCCACCACACUCGUUGCAAUGCCUGGUUUCCGAUCAGGCGGCUGCGCUCACGGCGCCUCCCUGUUCACGCUGUACCGUGAACCUGCUGAAUCUUAUCCCUGUGCCCCGACGAUGCGGAGGGAGGCCUGUGUUCUCAUAGUGUGAGGAUGGAAUGAGGACGGGGAGCCGCUAACACGGGGAAAGGCAGAAUGACCCAGGGACAGGGAAAGAGGAAAUGGAACUCUCCUGAGCUGGAGAAAUGGCAAGGGAGAAAGCAGAAUGGAAGAAAAAAAGAAAAGGAGAGGAAUCAGACAGCAAGUGAACAGAGAGUGAAGAAAAGGAAGGGAGAUUCGAUCUGGCAAAGGGCAGGCUGUGUCCAUAAAUGAGUGGACAGAGGGGCUGGACAGAAGGUUGAAUUCCACAUUGCUGCCCGGUGGGAUUCAGACAUUUGGUGUUUGCUCUUGGCCGAGAUGCCGAUGGGAUAGAGAGGCUAACGCAGUCGUCUUGACAGCUCAUCUUUAUGGCAGUGUUUAUCAGCCUGUGUCCACUGGAGGUGACAUUUGCAGAAAGAGGUGGUGGCUAUUUUACUUACCUGUUUGCAGAUACCCUGAGCCUCUGCCUUCAACAAAUAGCCAGGCAGGCGUCACAGCUGAUGGAGGGGACCUGGGCGUCAGUCAACACCUUGACUGACAGAGGCGAUCACGAAGCUCACACUCCAAACUUAAUGUCCUUGACUGGCGUGUGACUGAGUCCUUAAUAUGUUAACCAGUCCUGUGUUGGAUGCUCAGGAGGCUACGAAAGACAUUCGAUUGAAAGCCAAUGGUUCUGGCCCAGCCAGUGUAGCUCAGCGGUUGAGCAUCAACCCAGGAACCAAAAGGCUGCCAGUUCAGUUCCAGGUCAGGGCACAUGCCCAGGUUGCGGGCUCGAUCCCCUGUGGGGCAUGUGCAGGAGGCAACUGAUGGAUGAUGUUUCUCUCUCAUCAGUGUUUCUAUCUCUCUAACCCUUUCCCUUUCUCUCUCUAAAAUCAAUAAAAACAUUUAAAAAAAAGAAGUGCUAUGUAGCAAAGGUGUGGGUUCUUGGCAAGAGACACACAUAUGAUCCAUCAGCCGCAGUUUCCUCAUCUGUAGAAUGGGCAUCGCAGCGGUACCUCCUUCAUAGAGGUCCUGUGGGAAUUGAAAUGAGAGGAUGCGUGUAUAAAGUGCUUCCAGCAGCUUGGUACACCCUGAGCACUCAAACAGUGUGCUCAUUCUCUUUUUGGAUUUUAGCAGUCGAGUUUGUGGUUAAGACUCCAUUUUAAGCAGUUGGACAUUUCUGUUAUGUUUUGAUUUUGAGUGAAAGGAAAAUGAGAAGAUGAUUUUAAAAAAUAGCUGUUUUCUUUGACCUAAUUUUAAAACUCUUGACAUUUUUCUCCGACCGGUUUUGCUGUCAGCCAGACCUGGCAGGUCUCUGUGGCCUUUUCAGAGCACCUGUUUCGUCGUCUGCUUUACAGUGACUUAGCCAUGCUAUUUUUUCAAGGUUACAAAAGCGGGAAGACAUCA